This 1450-nucleotide ribosomal RNA is filed under the name Pediococcus pentosaceus. Its description in RNAcentral is "bacterial SSU rRNA". It matches the Rfam family "Bacterial small subunit ribosomal RNA". The record is from RNAcentral. Lineage: Bacteria; Bacillati; Bacillota; Bacilli; Lactobacillales; Lactobacillaceae.
AGAGUUUGAUCCUGGCUCAGGAUGAACGCUGGCGGCGUGCCUAAUACAUGCAAGUCGAACGAACUUCCGUUAAUUGAUUAUGACGUACUUGUACUGAUUGAGAUUUUAACACGAAGUGAGUGGCGAACGGGUGAGUAACACGUGGGUAACCUGCCCAGAAGUAGGGGAUAACACCUGGAAACAGAUGCUAAUACCGUAUAACAGAGAAAACCGCAUGGUUUUCUUUUAAAAGAUGGCUCUGCUAUCACUUCUGGAUGGACCCGCGGCGUAUUAGCUAGUUGGUGAGGUAAAGGCUCACCAAGGCAGUGAUACGUAGCCGACCUGAGAGGGUAAUCGGCCACAUUGGGACUGAGACACGGCCCAGACUCCUACGGGAGGCAGCAGUAGGGAAUCUUCCACAAUGGACGCAAGUCUGAUGGAGCAACGCCGCGUGAGUGAAGAAGGGUUUCGGCUCGUAAAGCUCUGUUGUUAAAGAAGAACGUGGGUAAGAGUAACUGUUUACCCAGUGACGGUAUUUAACCAGAAAGCCACGGCUAACUACGUGCCAGCAGCCGCGGUAAUACGUAGGUGGCAAGCGUUAUCCGGAUUUAUUGGGCGUAAAGCGAGCGCAGGCGGUCUUUUAAGUCUAAUGUGAAAGCCUUCGGCUCAACCGAAGAAGUGCAUUGGAAACUGGGAGACUUGAGUGCAGAAGAGGACAGUGGAACUCCAUGUGUAGCGGUGAAAUGCGUAGAUAUAUGGAAGAACACCAGUGGCGAAGGCGGCUGUCUGGUCUGCAACUGACGCUGAGGCUCGAAAGCAUGGGUAGCGAACAGGAUUAGAUACCCUGGUAGUCCAUGCCGUAAACGAUGAUUACUAAGUGUUGGAGGGUUUCCGCCCUUCAGUGCUGCAGCUAACGCAUUAAGUAAUCCGCCUGGGGAGUACGACCGCAAGGUUGAAACUCAAAAGAAUUGACGGGGGCCCGCACAAGCGGUGGAGCAUGUGGUUUAAUUCGAAGCUACGCGAAGAACCUUACCAGGUCUUGACAUCUUCUGACAGUCUAAGAGAUUAGAGGUUCCCUUCGGGGACAGAAUGACAGGUGGUGCAUGGUUGUCGUCAGCUCGUGUCGUGAGAUGUUGGGUUAAGUCCCGCAACGAGCGCAACCCUUAUUACUAGUUGCCAGCAUUAAGUUGGGCACUCUAGUGAGACUGCCGGUGACAAACCGGAGGAAGGUGGGGACGACGUCAAAUCAUCAUGCCCCUUAUGACCUGGGCUACACACGUGCUACAAUGGAUGGUACAACGAGUCGCGAGACCGCGAGGUUAAGCUAAUCUCUUAAAACCAUUCUCAGUUCGGACUGUAGGCUGCAACUCGCCUACACGAAGUCGGAAUCGCUAGUAAUCGCGGAUCAGCAUGCCGCGGUGAAUACGUUCCCGGGCCUUGUACACACCGCCCGUCACACCAUGAGAGUUUG